GGGCCCGUAGUCUAGUGGCUAUGACGUCGCUUUGACGUAGCGAAGGUCGCCAGUUCGAACGAGAAUUCAGGGAGUCCUGGUGUUCCAGAACCCUGGGUCCUGCGACAAUCUGGCCGGGCCCA
This 122-nucleotide transfer RNA is filed under the name Candidatus Woesearchaeota archaeon. RNAcentral describes it as "tRNA-Val". The record is from RNAcentral. Lineage: Archaea; Nanobdellati; Candidatus Woesearchaeota.